CAGCAGCUGACUGUGGCUGUGAUUGGCGCUGGUUGUGAGGGACAUAUUGGAGGAUAACAUUUGAUGUUGCUGCUGCUGCUGCUGUUGCAUCUGUUGGUGUUGCUGCUGCUGAUGUAGCUGCUGCUGCUGCUGCUGCUGCUGCUGUAGCUGCUGCUGCUGUUGUUGCUGCUG
Molecule: small RNA, 171 nt
Filed under: Drosophila guanche
Lineage: Eukaryota; Metazoa; Arthropoda; Insecta; Diptera; Drosophilidae
Source: RNAcentral